RNAcentral lists this ribosomal RNA (618 nucleotides) under Salmonella enterica subsp. enterica serovar Enteritidis. RNAcentral's name for it is "bacterial LSU rRNA". It matches the Rfam family "Bacterial large subunit ribosomal RNA", at positions 1 to 650 of the family's 2925-position model. The record is from RNAcentral. Lineage: Bacteria; Pseudomonadati; Pseudomonadota; Gammaproteobacteria; Enterobacterales; Enterobacteriaceae.
GGGUUGUGAGGUUAAGCGACUAAGCGUACACGGUGGAUGCCCUGGCAGUCAGAGGCGAUGAAGGGCGUGCUAAUCUGCGAUAAGCGCCGGUAAGGUGAUAUGAACCGUUAUAACCGGCGAUACCCGAAUGGGGAAACCCAGUGUGACUCGUCACACUAUCAUUAACUGAAUCCAUAGGUUAAUGAGGCGAACCGGGGGAACUGAAACAUCUAAGUACCCCGAGGAAAAGAAAUCAACCGAGAUUCCCCCAGUAGCGGCGAGCGAACGGGGAGGAGCCCAGAGCCUGAAUCAGCAUGUGUGUUAGUGGAAGCGUCUGGAAAGGCGCGCGAUACAGGGUGACAGCCCCGUACACAAAAGCGCAUGUGCUGUGAGCUCGAUGAGUAGGGCGGGACACGUGGUAUCCUGUCUGAAUAUGGGGGGACCAUCCUCCAAGGCUAAAUACUCCUGACUGACCGAUAGUGAACCAGUACCGUGAGGGAAAGGCGAAAAGAACCCCGGCGAGGGGAGUGAAAAAGAACCUGAAACCGUGUACGUACAAGCAGUGGGAGCACCCUUUGGGUGUGACUGCGUACCUUUUGUAUAAUGGGUCAGCGACUUAUAUUCUGUAGCAAGGUUAAC